AACGUAGGACGCAAGCGUUAUCCGGAGUUACUGGGCGUAAAGCGCGGGCAGGCGGUCUUCCCAGUCUGAUGUGAAAGCGCUCGGCUCAACCGAGCGAUGCCAUUGGAAACUAGAAGACUGGAGUCUGACAGAGGUAGGCGGAAUUCCGGGUGGAGUGGUGAAAUGCGUAGAGAUCCGGAGGAACACCAGUGGCGAAAGCGGCCACCUGGACUGCACCUGACGCUGACACGCGAAAGCUAGGGGAGCGAACGGG
This 253-nucleotide ribosomal RNA is filed under the name uncultured bacterium. RNAcentral's name for it is "partial 16S ribosomal RNA". It matches the Rfam family "Bacterial small subunit ribosomal RNA", at positions 524 to 776 of the family's 1533-position model. The record is from RNAcentral.